Molecule: ribosomal RNA, 437 nt
Filed under: uncultured bacterium
Lineage: Bacteria
Description: bacterial SSU rRNA
Rfam family: Bacterial small subunit ribosomal RNA
Source: RNAcentral
AGAGUUUGAUCCUGGCUCAGAACGAACGCUGGCGGCAGGCUUAACACAUGCAAGUCGAACGCGUGUAGCAAUACACGAGUGGCGCACGGGUGAGUAACGCGUGGAUAUCUGCCUUUUGGUUCGGAAUAACUCCGGGAAACUGGAGCUAAUACCGGAUGGUUCCUACGGGAUAAAGAUUUAUCGCCAAAAGAUGAGUCCGCGUACGAUUAGCUAGUUGGUGAGGUAAUGGCUCACCAAGGCGACGAUCGUUAGCUGGUCUGAGAGGACGAUCAGCCACACUGGGACUGAGACACGGCCCAGACUCCUACGGGAGGCAGCAGUGGGGAAUAUAGGACAAUGGGGGCAACCCUGAUCCAGCCAUGCCGCGUGAGUGAUGAGGGCCUUCGGGUUGUAAAGCUCUUUUGGCGGGGACGAUGAUGACGGUACCCGCAGAAUAG